Long non-coding RNA from Mauremys reevesii (Reeves's turtle), 419 nucleotides. RefSeq lists it as uncharacterized. The transcript has 3 exons. The record is from RefSeq and is a predicted model, not a curated record. NCBI's taxonomy places the organism in Eukaryota, Metazoa, Chordata, Testudines, Geoemydidae.
UACUGGAAUAAGGUCACUCUGUUCUUCACAGUGUGGCAGAACCUAGAAUGUCCAUUAGCAGGGAAAAAUCCUGGGGAGAAUCGGCUUGUGGAAUGGAUGAAAACCCCAUCUGAAUUCUCUCACAUUACCCUUCUCGCCCUGACAGGCUACAGACUAACGUCCACGUUUGAUCCAGAUCAUCCCAUCCUCCCAGGGGGCAGGAAAUGGCUGCAGUGGAGCUGGCUCAGGUCACUUUCUGCAAACAAGCUGCCUGUUGCAGUUCUCAGAGCCCCAAGCAGACCCCAAAGAACCCGCCGAAUACCCGGAGCGCCGCUGGCUUAGUAAAAAGAAACCAACCAAUGUCAGAUAUGGAGGAUGAAGUAGAGCUACAAAUUAAGAAUGAAACUGAUUUAGGGAACUGCCUACAUUCUCGAUUUUCG